AUUAUUCUAAAAUACCCCUACAGUUAUCCUCUGUUAGCUUAACUCGGGUUAAACAUGAGUUAAAUGUAUACUAGAGUUAAAAUCUAAAUAAAAUACCUAUUUUGCCCCUACCAUAUUAUACUAAUUCCUUAAGUUAUUCUCCUCAUACUCUUCGUUAUUCUCUUUCUCCCUCCUCCCCGUAUCAUCGUCCCCGACCCCGACCCCAACCCCAUCGUCGCGGAGAGGACGGCGACCCCUUCGACCCCUUCGACCCCUCGCUCCUCCUUCCCCCGCCCCGCGCUCGACUCCUUCCUGUCCCUCCUCGACGUCGUCCUCUCCGGGCGCUUCCGCUG
RNAcentral lists this long non-coding RNA (332 nucleotides) under Ananas comosus (pineapple). RNAcentral describes it as "long non-coding RNA (ACOM_LNC010383)". Lineage: Eukaryota; Viridiplantae; Streptophyta; Magnoliopsida; Poales; Bromeliaceae. The record is from RNAcentral.